GGCCGGCUUCCAGCGGCGGCCGCUGGGCCGCGCUCCCCACACAGUGGUGCCCGGCGGCCGCUACCCGCCAGUCGGCAAGGCCGGCAGUCGCAAGCAGCAGGGGAAGCGGAAGCUGGGCGGCCGAGACGCAGACGGCGGCCUGCUGCCGACCGGCCGGGCCAUGACCGUGGACACCUCGGCCAGCGCCGAGGUGGGCCAGGUGACUAUGGACGGCGCCGGCGG
This is a long non-coding RNA of Pollicipes pollicipes, 222 nucleotides long. RefSeq lists it as uncharacterized. The transcript is spliced from 3 exons. The record is from RefSeq and is a predicted model, not a curated record. Lineage: Eukaryota; Metazoa; Arthropoda; Thecostraca; Pollicipedomorpha; Pollicipedidae.